UGAGGAAUAUUGGUCAAUGGACGCAAGUCUGAACCAGCCAAGUAGCGUGCAGGAUGACGGCCCUAUGGGUUGUAAACUGCUUUUAUAUGGGGAUAAAGUGGGGAACGUGUUCCCUUUUGCAGGUACCGCAUGAAUAAGGACCGGCUAAUUCCGUGCCAGCAGCCGCGGUAAUACGGAAGGUCCGGGCGUUAUCCGGAUUUAUUGGGUUUAAAGGGAGCGUAGGCCGCGUUUUAAGCGUGUUGUGAAAUGUAGGAGCUCAACUUCUAGAUUGCAGCGCGAACUGUCAGACUUGAGUGCGCACAACGUAGGCGGAAUUCAUGGUGUAGCGGUGAAAUGCUUAGAUAUCAUGAAGAACUCCGAUUGCGAAGGCAGCUUACGGGAGCGCAACUGACGCUGAAGCUCGAAGGUGCGGGUAUCGAACAGG
Molecule: ribosomal RNA, 424 nt
Filed under: Verrucomicrobiota bacterium
Lineage: Bacteria; Pseudomonadati; Verrucomicrobiota
Description: Verrucomicrobia bacterium partial 16S ribosomal RNA
Rfam family: Bacterial small subunit ribosomal RNA
Source: RNAcentral